RNAcentral lists this long non-coding RNA (1486 nucleotides) under Cairina moschata (Muscovy duck). RNAcentral's name for it is "domestica (muscovy Duck (domestic type)) lncRNA (ENSCMMG00000010025.1)". The record is from RNAcentral. Lineage: Eukaryota; Metazoa; Chordata; Aves; Anseriformes; Anatidae.
AAAAAAAAAAAAAAAAAAAAAAAAAAGCAUUAUAUAUUCUUUUGUCGGGGGAAAUAAAAUAUAUAUAUAUAAAAAAAGAAGCACCACAAACUUAAAAAUAUACCCCGAGCCUAUCUCCAAAUCUCCACCUCCAUCCUCAUUGUUUGACGUGUAUUCCUGUCUAAACGUUUUUAUAAGGUCCCCUAGACACAUUUUCCAUGCCCUCUACAUAUGUAUACACUCAUAUAUACACACCACUACUUGAGUAUCACUCUAUUAUCCCCAAAUCUUUCAAGUUUUCCCCUACACACAUGCACACAGACAAGCGCACACACUCCUUUUUAUUAAAUAUCGCACACGAGCGAACACACACACACAAAGAAAAAAAGGAAGUAAAGGAAGGGAAAAUAGUAAAAGUUUACUCAACCCGCUACUUAAAUACAAAUUACGAAAACAUAAAACUUAACUUAUGAAGAUUCAACAGCCAUAAAAAAGUAGCCUGCAAGAAAUUGGAGGAGGAUGGUAACAGAGACUUCAAAGGCACAUGGCCAAGCAGAGCAAUAAAAAUUUAUGGAGGAUGUAAUUAUACCGCUCUGCAAACAGGCGAUCGUAAAUCUCCACGAAUGGUUAUUUUACAACUGGUGCAAUAAGAUUUCUACAAGACUUUGAGGUGCUACUUAGUAUAAAGCAAAGCCACUUUAGUUCACUUACCCGUGCUUACAUGGACUUUUUUCAUCCAGGGGUAAACUACCGGCUCUUUGCAAGAGGAAUUGGAAGGGCUUUGGUUCAGAGAGUUUUGGCUGCAGGAGGGUGGUGGGCUGGGGGUGACCGGCUCGCAGGGAUGGUUUGGCUCAGAGAGGUGGCUUUGCAGUCCGGCAGGAGGAUGGACAUGACCCCGGGGGGAUAACACCGCUGCUUGGUGGCCGGAGCUCUGACAGGACGAGUAGAGCUGCUCGUUGCAGGCUGACCGCGGCUGGUACAUCGCUUCAUGUUGGAAAGUGCUCUCUCGCCUCUGGCUGCUGUAAUAUUCCGGCGAGUGAUUGGGAAGGUAAUCGCUGUGGGAAUACUCUUCACAGGGUGGGAACUUGGGGUCCACAUAGUUGGAGUUGCAUGUGACAGCACGGGCCAAUGGCGAUGUGGCCUGCGAUCCCCGGAUAAGGAAAUCUGCCCAGCACGGGCUCUCCCGGGGCCCGGAGCAUCCCCGGGGAGGCGGCCGGGGGCGCCCGCUCCCCUCCGGCUGCCCCGGCCCCGGCCCCGGCCCGGCGCCGCCGGGCCCCGCAGGCCCCCGCCAGCCUCGGACUCGGCAGCGCCCCGCGGGCGAGAACCGACCCCCCCGGCCCACACCCCUCGGGGGUGUGUCCUGGCUCGGGGCGGGGGUGGCCGACGGAAGGGGGUGGAAAACAAAAAAAAAAUUACCCCAAAAGAAAAAAAAAUAAGAGAGAGAGGGGGCAAAAGUAUUUUCAAAUGUUUGGGGGCUGCCGCUCACAGUCGCUGCCCCAGCACAUGA